RNAcentral lists this long non-coding RNA (633 nucleotides) under Phaseolus vulgaris (common bean). Its description in RNAcentral is "long non-coding RNA (PVUL_LNC003791)". The record is from RNAcentral. Lineage: Eukaryota; Viridiplantae; Streptophyta; Magnoliopsida; Fabales; Fabaceae.
GAAAAACAUUCAAAAAUUAUCUUUAAAAUAAGUUUUAACUUAAUUUAUUUACUAAUAUUGAGAAAAAAAAAGAGAUGGAUAAACAUUUUUCUUUUGAGCUUUUUAUUUUUUAUUUUUGUUAAUCAAAUAAAUAAAUGAAUAAAGACUCCAUUCGCAAAUUUGGUUCUAGAUAACUGUGUCCGAAAAAAGAUAAGCCAGGAAAUAAAAAUUUCAUGGACGAGAUUGCUACAACGGAAGCUGUUAAUGUCGCAAACGAAGAAAUUGCCUCAAAACAUUGGUGUCAAAGACAGUUUUGGGACAGAGUGCGUUUGCUUGAAUCAAAGAAAUUCAAAUAGCAGAUUCAGAAGUUAAGCAUGCUUGAACCAAAGAAAUUGAAAUAGCAGAUUCAGAAGUGAAAGCAAUUAAGAAAGAAGUGAGAUAUUGCAGUGAUAAAGGGCCUGAAAGAUCACAAAAAAUCAAAUUCAGACGAGUGACACUGCAGAAUUUGAUUUCGCAAGUUUAUGAAAAACGAUUGAUUGGACCGUAGGGUUAUCAGGAUCCAUUCAAGAAGCUGAACUUGCACUUCACCAAAUCUUCAAAUUUCAAAAAAAACAAACUAAACCUAAAACCAGAGAGCAAUCGUGAACGAUGCGG